Molecule: ribosomal RNA, 253 nt
Filed under: uncultured bacterium
Lineage: Bacteria
Description: partial 16S ribosomal RNA
Rfam family: Bacterial small subunit ribosomal RNA
Source: RNAcentral
UACGUAGGGUGCGAGCGUUGUCCGGAAUUAUUGGGCGUAAAGAGCUCGUAGGCGGUCUGUCGCGUCUGCUGUGAAAUCCCGAGGCUCAACCUCGGGCUUGCAGUGGGUACGGGCAGGCUAGAGUGCGGUAGGGGAGAAUGGAGCUCCUGGUGUAGCGGUGGAAUGCGCAGAUAUCAGGAAGAACACCGAUGGCGAAGGCAGUUCUCUGGGCCGUAACUGACGCUGAGGAGCGAAAGCGUGGGGAGCGAACAGG